RNAcentral lists this transfer RNA (82 nucleotides) under Candidatus Bathyarchaeota archaeon. RNAcentral describes it as "tRNA-Ile". It matches the Rfam family "tRNA". Rfam says of the family: Transfer RNA (tRNA) molecules are approximately 80 nucleotides in length. Their secondary structure includes four short double-helical elements and three loops (D, anti-codon, and T loops). Further hydrogen bonds mediate the characteristic L-shaped molecular structure. tRNAs have two regions of fundamental functional importance: the anti-codon, which is responsible for specific mRNA codon recognition, and the 3' end, to which the tRNAs corresponding amino acid is attached (by aminoacyl-tRNA synthetases). tRNAs cope with the degeneracy of the genetic code in two manners: having more than one tRNA (with a specific anti-codon) for a particular amino acid; and 'wobble' base-pairing, i.e. permitting non-standard base-pairing at the 3rd anti-codon position. Lineage: Archaea; Thermoproteati; Candidatus Bathyarchaeota. The record is from RNAcentral.
GGGCCUGUGGCGCAGAUCCAUCGUGCUUUGAGCUCUAUGAGCCAGCUGUAGGUCGUGGGUUCAAAUCCCACCAGGCCCGCCA